Molecule: ribosomal RNA, 483 nt
Filed under: uncultured bacterium
Lineage: Bacteria
Description: partial 16S ribosomal RNA
Rfam family: Bacterial small subunit ribosomal RNA
Source: RNAcentral
GACGAACGCUGGCGGCGUGCUUAACACAUGCGAGUCGAACGCUGAAGCUCAGCUUUUGUUGGGUGGAUGAGUGGCGAACGGGUGAGUAACACGUGAGUAACCUGCCCCCUUCUUUGGGAUAACGCCCGGAAACGGGUGCUAAUACUGGAUAUUCACUGGUCUUCGCAUGGGGGUUGGUGGAAAGGGUUUUUCUGGUGGGGGAUGGGCUCGCGGCCUAUCAGCUUGUUGGUGGGGUGAUGGCCUACCAAGGCUUUGACGGGUAGCCGGCCUGAGAGGGUGACCGGUAACAUUGGGACUGAGAUACGGCCCAGACUCCUACGGGAGGCAGCAGUGGGGAAUAUUGCACAAUGGGCGCAAGCCUGAUGCAGCGACGCCGCGGGAGGGAUGGAGGCCUUCGGGUUGUGAACCUCUUUCGCUCAUGGUCAAGCCGCAACAAUGGUUGUGGUGAGGGUAGUGGGUAAAGAAGCGCCGGCUAACUACGUG